This 202-nucleotide long non-coding RNA is filed under the name Elaeis guineensis (African oil palm). RNAcentral describes it as "long non-coding RNA (EGUI_LNC047738)". The record is from RNAcentral. Lineage: Eukaryota; Viridiplantae; Streptophyta; Magnoliopsida; Arecales; Arecaceae.
CUUACCUCAAGGUUUAUGAGUGUUUGUUUUAUGUCAAAUAUUUAUAGAUCGAUUAGCUUGAAUUUUGAUCCCAUAUAUAUUAUUUUAUAGGGUGACUCUAAAGAAUCUAAGGGAUAUAACUUCUACCAUACUAAAGAACAGGAGUUGUUCGACAUUCCUUUCAAAAAAAGAGUACCUUGAUGAAGGUACUGAUGCUUUUAAU